GAUGAACGCUGGCGGCGUGCCUAAUACAUGCAAGUCGAGCGAACAGACGAGGAGCUUGCUCCUCUGACGUUAGCGGCGGACGGGUGAGUAACACGUGGAUAACCUACCUAUAAGACUGGGAUAACUUCGGGAAACCGGAGCUAAUACCGGAUAAUAUAUUGAACCGCAUGGUUCAAUAGUGAAAGACGGUUUUGCUGUCACUUAUAGAUGGAUCCGCGCCGCAUUAGCUAGUUGGUAAGGUAACAGCUUACCAAGGCAACGAUGCGUAGCCGACCUGAGAGGGUGAUCGGCCACACUGGAACUGAGACACGGUCCAGACUCCUACGGGAGGCAGCAGUAGGGAAUAUUCCGCAAUGGGCGAAAGCCUGACGGAGCAACGCCGCGUGAGUGAUGAAGGUCUUCGGAUCGUAAAACUCUGUUAUUAGGGAAGAACAAAUGUGUAAGUAAAUAUGCACGUCUUGACGGUACCUAAUCAGAAAGCAACGGCUAACUACGUG
RNAcentral lists this ribosomal RNA (497 nucleotides) under uncultured bacterium. RNAcentral's name for it is "partial 16S ribosomal RNA". It matches the Rfam family "Bacterial small subunit ribosomal RNA", at positions 28 to 507 of the family's 1533-position model. The record is from RNAcentral.